Molecule: transfer RNA, 87 nt
Filed under: Chitinophagaceae bacterium
Lineage: Bacteria; Pseudomonadati; Bacteroidota; Chitinophagia; Chitinophagales; Chitinophagaceae
Description: tRNA-Ser
Rfam family: tRNA
About the family: Transfer RNA (tRNA) molecules are approximately 80 nucleotides in length.
Source: RNAcentral
GGAGAGUUGGCAGAGUGGUCGAAUGCGGCGGUCUUGAAAACCGUUGUGCCAGCGAUGGCACCGGGGGUUCGAAUCCCUCACUCUCCG